GACGGAGGAGGCAAGCGUUAUCCGGAAUUAUUGGGCGUAAAGCGUCCGCAGGCGGCUUUUUAAGUCUGUUGUCAAAGCCCACAGCUCAACUGUGGAUCGGCAAUGGAAACCGGGAAGCUAGAGUGUGGUAGGGGUAGAGGGAAUUCCCGGUGUAGCGGUGAAAUGCGUAGAUAUCGGGAAGAACACCAGUGGCGAAGGCGCUCUACUGGGCCACAACUGACGCUGAGGGACGAAAGCUAGGGGAGCGAAAGGG
This 253-nucleotide ribosomal RNA is filed under the name uncultured bacterium. RNAcentral's name for it is "partial 16S ribosomal RNA". It matches the Rfam family "Bacterial small subunit ribosomal RNA", at positions 524 to 776 of the family's 1533-position model. The record is from RNAcentral.